CAUGCAGGCGGUUAGACAAGUCAGGUGUGAAAUCCCCGCGCUUAACGUGGGCAUUGCAUCUGAAACUAUGUAGCUAGAGUUCUGUAGAGGGGGGUAGAAUUCCAGGUGUAGCGGUGAAAUGCGUAGAGAUGUGGAGGAAUACCGAUUGCGAAGGUAGCCCCCUGGACAGAGACUGACGCUCAUAUGCGAAAGCGUGGGGAUCAAACAGGAUUAGAUACCCGUGUA
This 225-nucleotide ribosomal RNA is filed under the name uncultured Thorsellia sp. RNAcentral's name for it is "partial 16S ribosomal RNA". It matches the Rfam family "Bacterial small subunit ribosomal RNA", at positions 568 to 792 of the family's 1533-position model. Lineage: Bacteria; Pseudomonadati; Pseudomonadota; Gammaproteobacteria; Enterobacterales; Thorselliaceae. The record is from RNAcentral.